ACCUUUUUAUUAAAGUUUUAUUUUUGCCUUGUAAAAAAACAUGGCUGCAAUUAUAGUGAAAUGUAAAUAUGUUCCUUGAGUGAAACUGUGAAACCAGUGGAACUACAGGAAACUACAAAUCAAUUUAUCAAGGAUUUUAUUUCUAUUUAUUUAUUUUCUGUAUAUUAUUGUAUAGUAUUGUUAAUAAAGAGUUAUAGUUUGAUUUGUGCUCGGUUAAUUUCAGUGUUCGAUAGUAAAAGUGCAAAAGUGUUUUUGUUUUUCGUUCAAAAUGAAGCGCUGUUGCGUGCCUAAGUGUAAAACAGCUAUUAAUUUACGUGCUGUACCAUAUACUGAUGUUACUAGAUGGAAGAAGAAGGACUUGAUCAUUGGAAAUCAGCAUGCUCAAUGGGCUUUCAUUGAACGGGCUUAUGCUACUGAUGGUGCAGGAGGACGUGCCAGAACCAUAGAUUUAAACGAUAAACAUAUAAACCCAAGUUCCUACAAUAAGAUGAAGGUCAAUUAUUAUGCUUCGGACGUCUUCAGUUACAGAGGUACACUGUACACUGCCUUUUACUUGGGAAAAUGAAGUCAUACGAAGAUCUUAGUUAUAGUGUUCCACAAUUAUGUUAACAUAACUCUCUUACAUACUUAUAACAUAAGCCUCUCUGGUUCAGUGGUUACCCUAUGUGGUCACGAGGUCCGGGGUUAUAUAAGAUACUGAGCUUUUCAUCUAAGAAAUUUUGACUUAUAAUUCUCAGUCCUUAGUUGGGAAUUUAGUGGUGUUACACCCUGUGCCUCAGAGUGCAUGUUAACCUGUCCCGGACAAGGCCACGUCCCGUAAAUAAUGGAUAAAACGCAAAUGGUAGAUACGCCACCUAAUUCUACAAUUCUACGUUUUAUACUAAUUUACUACCCUCUAUAAGUGUACAAGUUUUUAAAAUAAUGGUUUUUUCGAUUCAAAAUUAGAUUUCAUCAUUUUUUACCGGACAAUGUGUUUUAAAUCGGGUCCUAAUGAAAGAAAAAUAAUUAUUACACAAAAAAUAGUCAAAUUAGUUAUAGAUAAUAAGGUGGUGUAUCUAUCAUAUUAGUCUGAUCUACAUGUGCUCUUUAGUAUAAAAAAAAAGUUCUCCAUCUCCUAUAAAAAUGGUUGAGGUGUCAUUCGAUUCGGAAUUGAAUAUACAUAGUUUUUGAAAAAUUUGAAGGCCCGCUCACUAAAAUUGCAAAAGUUAUAAAUAAUUCACUAAAAAUGAAAAAGGGGUUCAAGCAUUUUUAUAGGAGACAGAACUUUUUUUUACUAAAGAGCAGUGACCACAUUCCAUCCAGUUUAAAUGCGUUAUAUCCAUUAAUUACGCGACAUCUGUCAUAUAUUUUGUGAAGUAGUCAUAUAAUUUUGUAACUACAAUUUGGUAUUUUACUGCAUGGAAAUGUUUACAUUUUUAUUAAAGAAAUAAAUAAAAGAUUUUGCCUUUUUUUUAUCAUACAAAAGAAAAAGUCUAGUAACAAUAUAAAUAAUCGAGAUAAACGAAACCGGCAUAUCAGAAGACCGGUAACAUUUUGCGGUUAUAUGGGAUAACCACAAAUAGUACGGCAUAACCUACUUUCACAAAUCAAUUUAACUACGGAAUAAACCUACGACCCCUUCCAACCAUUUUCAAAUUACUACAAGCAUUUCCGUUUCCGCCGUGUAGGCACAUUCUACAUAUACAUAGAAUAGAAAGAGAGGGCAAAGGGAUUUUUAAUGAAGAUUUGCCUUGUAUGAGAGAGAUAAAGGAUAAAUUUAUGAAUGAAAUUUGUGGUUAUAUGAUUUUAAAAUUAUGAAUGAAAUUCAAAUUUCUCAAAUGUGCUAAGCAGUUUCUAUGAAGUAAGCUGUCUGCACGCCAGUGUGCCUUCGGCCAAAAGAUUCGUCAAUUUAACGGAUUCUCCAUCCUUUACGCACACAUUGUGGUGUUUAUGGAAAAUGCCUUUUCCAUCCCUUUUUAAUUAUCCGAUCAUUUUCGGAACCGAAGCCAGUCUAUGCUCUGUUGUGAUUGGCUGAACCUUUCUAUUAAAGUUUUAUUUUUGCCUUGUAAAAAAACAUGGCUGCAAUUAUAGUGAAAUGUAAAUAUGUUCCUUGAGUGAAACUGUGAAACCAGUGGAACUACAGGAAACUACAAAUCAAUUUAUCAAGGAUUUUAUUUCUAUUUAUUUAUUUUCUGUAUAUUAUUGUAUAGUAUUGUUAAUAAAGAGUUAUAGUUUGAUAUGUGCUAGGUUAAUUUCAGUGUUCGAUAGUAAAAGUGCAAAAGUGUUUUUGUUUUUCGUUCAAAAUGAAGCGCUGUUGCGUGCCUAAGUGUAAAACAGCUAUUAAUUUACGUGCUGUACCAUAUACUGAUGUUACUAGAUGGAAGAAGAAGGACUUGAUCAUUGGAAAUCAGCAUGCUCAAUGGGCUUUCAUUGAACGGGCUUAUGCUACUGAUGGUGCAGGAGGACGUGCCAGAACCAUAGAUUUAAACAAUAAACAUAUAAACCCAAGUUCCUACGAUAAGAUGAAGGUGACAAGCGCAAUAUAAGAGUUACAAAUGAAGUGUAACUCUCUAGCCUCUGCACCUCAACUCCACUCUCACUUUCAUGCGGUGGACCCCGUUACUUCAAGCAACUUUGUGGAAGACUAGGAGAAAUCCCAGUGGGAAACGGAGUCGACAAACAGACGAGAGUACAGGAGGGAUUACUGGCGCAAAUAUUUUGGUCCAAUAAUCUGGUGAUCUUAAAGCGAGGGAAGAAUCACGUCAAUUAUUAUGCUUCGGACGUCUUCAGUUGCAGAGGUACACUGUACACUGCUUUUUACUUGGGAAAAUGAAGUCAUACGAAGAUCUUAGUUAUAGUGUUCCACAAUUAUGUUAACAUAACUCUCUUACAUACUUAUAACAUAAGCCUCUCUGGUUCAGUGGUUACCCUAUGUGGUCACGAGGUCCGGGGUUAUAUACUAUACUACUGAUACUGAGCUUUUCAUCUAAGAAAUUUUGACUUAUAAUUCUCAGUCCUUAGUUGGGAAUUUAGUGGUGUUACACCCUGUGCCUCAGAGUGCAUGUUAACCUGUCCCGGACAAGGCCACGUCCCGUAAAUAAUGGAUAAAACGCAAAUGGUAGAUACGCCACCUAAUUCUACAAUUCUACGUUUUAUACUAAUUUACUACCCUCUAUAAGUGUACAAGUUUUUAAAAUAAUGGUUUUUUCGAUUCAAAAUUAGAUUUCAUCAUUUUUUACCGGACAAUGUGUUUUAAAUCGGGUCCUAAUGAAAGAAAAAUAAUUAUUACACAAAAAAUAGUCAAAUUAGUUAUAGAUAAUUAGGUGGUGUAUCUAUCAUAUUAGUCUGAUCUACAUGUGCUCUUUAGUAUAAAAAAAAAGUUCUCCAUCUCCUAUAAAAAUGGUUGAGGUGUCAUUCGAUUCGGAAUUGAUUAUACAUAGUUUUUGAAAAAUUUGAAGGCCCGCUCACUAAAAUUGCAAAAGUUAUAAAUAAUUCACUAAAAAUGAAAAAGGGGUUCAAGCAUUUUUAUAGGAGACAGAACUUUUUUUUACUAAAGAGCAGUGACCACAUUCCAUCCAGUUUAAAUGCGUUAUAUCCAUUAAUUACGCGACAUCUGUCAUAUAUUUUGUGAAGUAGUCAUAUAAUUUUGUAACUGUACAAUUUGGUAUUUUACUGCAUGGAAAUGUUUACAUUUUUAUUAAAGAAAUAAAUAAAAGA
This is a long non-coding RNA of Bicyclus anynana (squinting bush brown), 3696 nucleotides long. RefSeq lists it as uncharacterized. The record is from RefSeq and is a predicted model, not a curated record. NCBI's taxonomy places the organism in Eukaryota, Metazoa, Arthropoda, Insecta, Lepidoptera, Nymphalidae. The transcript is spliced from 6 exons.